UGAAGACCGCAUCAAUCCUCCCUUCUCUACUCAUUCUAGAUUUUCAGCUCCACUGAAGCAGAGCACAGCAGAAAUCACUUCUCCACCCGUUCUGUAGCUGUGGCUAGAAAGGUUUUCUAUUUAGUGGGUGGCCUUGGACAACUCAACAUAAUCUACUCACAGGAUACAGGCACCUUUCCUUUUCAGUGCAACUGUGAAAAGAAAUGGCAGCAUCAACACAGCUGAAAUCUGGCUUCCUGAAACUUGAGCCCAUUUUUCCAUGUCCUCUCUGGGAUGAUUAAGAAGAGAUCCUGGGCCCCUUCUGUGCAAACCAAGUA
Long non-coding RNA from Rhineura floridana, 317 nucleotides. RefSeq lists it as uncharacterized. The transcript has 3 exons. The record is from RefSeq and is a predicted model, not a curated record. Lineage: Eukaryota; Metazoa; Chordata; Lepidosauria; Squamata; Rhineuridae.